AAUGAUUUUUUUCCUUGUGAAAAAAAAUGCAAUGGAUUCCAUUAGAACUCCACAGUUAAGCGCGCUUGGGUUAGAGUAGCACUGGGAUGGGUGACCUCUCAAGAAAUCCUAGUGUUUUCCCUA
Molecule: non-coding RNA, 123 nt
Organism: Picea glauca (white spruce)
Lineage: Eukaryota; Viridiplantae; Streptophyta; Pinopsida; Pinales; Pinaceae
Source: Rfam